GUCCAGACUCCUACGGGAGGCAGCAGUGAGGAAUAUUGGUCAAUGGGCGCAAGCCUGAACCAGCCAAGUCGCGUGAGGGAUGACGGUCCUAUGGAUUGUAAACCUCUUUUGUCGGGGAGCAAGGCCGCCGACGUGUCGGCGGAAGGAGAGUACCCGUAGAACAAGCAUCGGCUAACUCCGUGCCAGCAGCCGCGGUAAUACGGAGGAUGCGAGCGUUAUCCGGAUUUAUUGGGUUUAAAGGGUGCGCAGGCGGCCCGGCAAGCCGGCGGUCAAAUCGCGGGGCUCAACCCCGCCCAGCCGUCGGAACUGCCGGGCUAGAGUGGGCGAGAAGUGCGCGGAAUGCGUGGUGUAGCGGUGAAAUGCAUAGAUAUCACGCAGAACUCCGAUUGCGAAGGCAGCGCACCGGCGCCCUACUGACGCUCAGGCACGAAAGCGUGGGUAUCGAACAGGAUUAGAUACCCCCGUAGC
RNAcentral lists this ribosomal RNA (468 nucleotides) under uncultured bacterium. RNAcentral's name for it is "bacterial SSU rRNA". It matches the Rfam family "Bacterial small subunit ribosomal RNA", at positions 329 to 794 of the family's 1533-position model. The record is from RNAcentral.